Molecule: ribosomal RNA, 229 nt
Filed under: uncultured bacterium
Lineage: Bacteria
Description: partial 16S ribosomal RNA
Rfam family: Bacterial small subunit ribosomal RNA
Source: RNAcentral
GGCGCAGGUGGUUUUUCAAGUCGGUUGUAAAAUCUCCCGGCUCAACUGGGAGGGACCAUCCGAUACUGGGGAACUUGAGAGUAGCAGAGGAAAGCGGAAUUCCCGGUGGAGUGGUGAUAUGCGUAGAUAUCGGGAAGAACACCAGUGGCGAAGGCGGCUUUCUGGGCUAUUUCUGACACUGAGGCCCGAAAGCGUGGGGAGCGAACAGGAUUAGAUACCCUGGUAGUCC